RNAcentral lists this long non-coding RNA (1516 nucleotides) under Anser cygnoides (Swan goose). RNAcentral's name for it is "lncRNA (ENSACDG00005001680.1)". The record is from RNAcentral. Lineage: Eukaryota; Metazoa; Chordata; Aves; Anseriformes; Anatidae.
AUGAUGAGCCUGAUUGCUGUAAAGUACAGGUUUGACUUGUGGCUUUCUCUCUUUCCUUAUGCUUUCUUUACCAGCCUGACGCACGAUAGCAGAGCUAUCCAUACAGACAGUACACCUGAAUAUGGAGAGGAAUGCAAAACACACAAGAAAAAGCAGAACCUGUCAGUCACCCCUCGGCGGCUGUCGACAUCUGAAAGGAUGGGUGCAGAAUUCAAGCGCAGCCAUCUUCAUCCAGUCGCUCGUGUGCACAAUUUAGAGGAGCUGCAUGCUGGACCUGACCUGGCCCUGCACAGGGACUUGGGGCUUGCUGGCUCUGGCUCUCCACAAGCAGGGCUGAUGCUGAGCAGGGUGUGCCCUGGUGGCAAGGGGCUGCUAGCAAUGCUUCUCACCUGUCUGUCCCCAGCUUGUCACACAAAGGUCUUGCAGGCCCCCUGUGACCCUACUAGCACCCUCUUCCCCACCUGUCUCCUUCAGAGUGAGCAAUGCAUUGCCCUGCAUACACUGUCGUGGUCCUGACCCAUACCACAGACAGCAGCAAGCACCCAUCAAUCCACUGGAGUCAUUUUAGACUGCUUAUAUUCAUUUGUUUCAUUAUGCUGUUAUGGCUCUCAUCAGACACAGUGCUAAUUAACUCAAUCCCAUCCUACCAAGUCCUGGCUUCCACAUCAUCUCCAGGGUUUCUAGUCCAGGGAGCUGUAACAGAUCAUUUAUCCCAGGGGGCUUAAAUGGAUGCUUUUCCAUGGUGGAGCUUUAGGCAGAGAGACUCAUGAUUGCAGGGGUGUGUUCAAGUCUAAUUCUGUGUGUAGCAUCAAAAUUUGUAUAGAUUUUAAAUAAUUCAUCACUGGGCUUCAGUAUAUUUAGUCACUCAAAUUAGGAAUCAGGAAUUUUGCUCUGCGGUGAGCUAGUGUGUGUGUCAUUGUCAGAGGUUAGCUCUGCUGCCUCUCUCCAUGCAGAAGAGUUCAGAGAAAUUAAGUCAGAGGAAGUGACUGCCAGUAGAAGAUGCAGGAAAAUGUGUGAUAUGCAGUGCUGUGAGAGCCUCAGCAGCAGUGCAGCGGGUGAUACUGGUACAUGGUCUAGCGGUACGUGCGUUGCUGAGGUACUGGGAGACCAUAAGCGUGGUUUAGGUGAGGUCUUUGGGCUUCAACCCAUGAGCCGCCGGCAUAUGGGGACUGUCCCCAUCCAUUGCCCCUUGUUUUGUCUGUGGAUUGCAAACCAUGGGGGGCAGAGAGAUGCUCUUGUGCUUUUCUGUGUUCUGCCUGUGACUGUAAAACAGGCAGCACGGAUGCUCGUACCCGUUAGCAGACGCGGCAGCUGUGGCGGGCUCUCAGUCACAGCUGGUAGGGGCCCGAAGUUUGGCGGAUUCCCAAACCCCCUGCAGCAGUGCUGACUUUCAUUGCAAAGGGAUGGCUUAGAAAUACAGACCCACAGCUUCAUUUAGUAGGGUUUCUGGAGCUGUCUCUCCCCCUUUCUUGACCCAAAGGAAAUACUUGACAAAGUGCUCCAGCCCCGGUGAAUU